Molecule: ribosomal RNA, 481 nt
Filed under: uncultured organism
Description: bacterial SSU rRNA
Rfam family: Bacterial small subunit ribosomal RNA
Source: RNAcentral
GAUGAACGCUGGCGGCGUGCCUAAUACAUGCAAGUCGAGCGUGAAUCUAGUAAUUGAUUCUUCGGAAGAUUUUACUAGAGGAAAGCGGCGGACGGGUGAGUAACGCGUAGGCAACCUGCCCUUAGCAGAGGGAUAGCCAUUGGAAACGAUGAUUAAAACCUCAUAAUAUCGUACUAACACAUGUUAGAACGAUCAAAGAUUUAUCGGCUAAGGAUGGGCCUGCGUCUGAUUAAUUAGUUGGUGAGGUAACGGCUCACCAAGAUGACGAUCAGUAGCCGACCUGAGAGGGUGAUCGGCCACAUUGGAACUGAGACACGGUCCAGACUUCUACGGAAGGCAGCAGUAAGGAAUUUUGCACAAUGGGGGAAACCCUGAUGCAGCAACGCCGCGUGAGUGAUGAAGGCCUUCGGGUUGUAAAACUCUGUUCUAAGGGAAGAAACAAAUGACGGUACCUUAGGAGCAAGCCCCGGCUAACUACGUG